Molecule: long non-coding RNA, 1475 nt
Filed under: Olea europaea subsp. europaea
Lineage: Eukaryota; Viridiplantae; Streptophyta; Magnoliopsida; Lamiales; Oleaceae
Source: RNAcentral
AGUGAACAUAAACAUAGAACCAUGGAAUUAAAAUGUGGCUCAACAUUAACAUAAACAUAAGUGUCGUUAAAAUAUCCGAUUACAUAAGUUCGACGGGUAGCUACAACUACAUAAGACACAUAAACAUAUACAUAAAUAUAAACAUGAACAUAAAAAUCAGUUCUCCUCCCUACGCUUUUCCUUGGCGAUAUCUUCCAACUUUCCCUUUCCCUUUCCCUUCCGAAUAGUUAUGUUGAAUGAUAUCUCAACAUCCUCUUCUUCUAUCUUUAAUUCGGCAACACUUUUCAACAAGUCAUCCAUUGGUGCUUUAGCUUUGCUUGGAGACGUCCCAACGGGGCUUGAUUGCAUUCCAUCACAAUAAUUAUUGGACUGUCCUUCAAACGACAAGGGUUUCUUCUUCGAGGACUUCCCGUCAUUCAAUCAAAAUAUCCACAAUCUUUUGUACAACGGAAGAAUAUUCGACCUAUGUUGUUCGUCUUCUUUUCAACCUCCAUCAUUUUUACAAUCCUUGUAAACAGUUAUGACAUUGUUUUUUUUGGAUAGUCAUACAGUUGAUGCCCAGGAUCUCGACAACUAUGGCAGAUACCCUUAUUCUUUCCAGCCAUUCAAUAUUACAGCUAUGGAAGAUUUGUAUCGAAAUCAAAAAACAGCCAGGGCUCAGCUUGCUUAAUUAAUAUGUUUAUAUGAUACAGUACAUUCACAAUGCAUUGAUUCUCAAACUAUGUCAUGUAAUACUAUUAUACGAUACAGUACAUUCACAGGAAAUACACUAAUCUAAGUUCAUAUGAAGUAGCAUAAUCUAAGUUCACAUGAAGUAGUAUAAUCAAAAGACGACUGCAUAGCUGAAUGGGGGCGACAUGGUCGUGAUAAGAUGUAGCUAAAAACUGAACCACAGAGAACAAUUUCUGUAUAGUAAAUCGCCACUCUAACAAGAUCACAUAUAACCAAAUAAAUACGACAACAGUCAACAGUGUUUGUGCUUUGGUGACUUCCCGUCUAAAUGGUAGGGGAAAAGAACAUCGUGCAACUAAAACCCAAAAAACCAAAACUAAAAAAAAAAAAACAAAAACAAAAACAAAAUUGCUGUCAGAGCUCGUGGAAAAAAAAAAAAGACAAACAAAAUUGCUGUCAGAUCUCGUGAAAACGAAAAUCCAUUUUAGAAGAAGAGGAAGCUGAAUCAUACCGUCGUUGAAGAUAUAGGAGUUGAUCUGUGACCAAAUUGGGAAAACUGAAACCCAAAAACGGAAAAUAAAAGGUCAUCUACCAAACAAAAAGAGAAACCCACUCAUUCUAUGGGUUGAUUACUAAUACCGUCGUCAAGAGCGAGUUUAAUUUUGGACUGUGUUGAAGAUUCUGGAGUCACCGGGAAUGGGAUCGCCUUCGACGAAGAAGCGUAUUUGUCGGGAACAAGUGAAUGAAAAUGAAAAGGAAAUGUUUGUACGGUAGGGCUAAUUUCAAUUUGAAUUUGUUGGGUU